This 1428-nucleotide ribosomal RNA is filed under the name Triticum aestivum (bread wheat). RNAcentral's name for it is "partial small subunit ribosomal RNA". The record is from RNAcentral. Lineage: Eukaryota; Viridiplantae; Streptophyta; Magnoliopsida; Poales; Poaceae.
AUGUGUUUGUGGAGCCGAGCGAGGUGCCCGCGUGUGGUCUGCUUCGCCAUCCACUCCUGCUACUCAGCACACUGCACACACCCCAGCUCGAUCGUCCCACCGUCCCCUCCUUCCUCCGGCGAGAUGCUCCUCUCGGAGCUCCCGACUCCACCCCGCCCAUGGCGCCCCCGCGUUCGAGAAGCCCAUUCCGCUCGCCCUCGCCACCUCCCUCUCCCCGGCUCCCACACCGCGGCCUUACCGAGAAGGCGCCACCUCCUCCUGUCCCCUUCCGCGACUCCGUCCGACGACCCCGCGCUCCCUCCGGCGAGGCGACCGUCCCGCCCGAAGAGGGCGUCGGGUGAGGGCGAGGGGUGGAUGAAGAAGGCGGUGCCGCCCGCGCCCGUCACGCGCGGGCUCUCCAGCCCCGUCCCCGAGGAGCCGCUGUCGCCGCUCCGGUGGACGGCCGGGCGGCAGGCGCGCGCCGCGUGGCGGAAGGCGACGUCGUUGGUGCCCAGGAGGGCCAGGAGCGUCAUCCUGCUCAACCUGCUCGUCCUCAUAUUUGCAAGCAACAUUUCUAUUGUCAAAGAAGCACAGACUAUGUUGGAUCCUGACCUUUUCAAUAUCAUACGCUUCACUAUUGCGGCCAUUCCUUUUGUGCCAUUCUUGUUGAAGUCACUCAGAGACAUGCAAGUUGUUCUUAGGGGCGUAGAGCUGGGGGUUUGGGUAACCUUGGCCUACCUCACUCAAUCUAUUGGGUUAGUUACAGCUGAUGCUGGCCGUGCAUCUUUCAUAUCCGCCCUCACAGUGAUCAUUGUUCCUUUCUUGGAUGGUAUUCUUGGAGCAGAAAUACCUGCAUAUACAUGGCUUGGAGCAUUUUUAUCAGUUCUCGGGGUUGGUAUUCUGGAGUUAAGUGGUUCUCCACCAUGUGUUGGUGAUCUUCUGACCCUCCUUAGUGCCUUUUGUUUUGGAAUUCACAUGCUCAGAACCGAGCAUAUUUCCAGGAAAAUGAAGAAAGAAAAUUUCCUACCGCUUGUUGGAUGUCAGGUGGUUGUCGUAGCUGUUGUGUCGGCAGUCUCGUUCAUUGUUAAAUGCUUCCUCCAGAAUGUGGUACCCUGGAAUUUAAAAUCAGGGACACCAACAGAGUUAUUCAGUAUGAUGUCAUCGUUUCCUUGGCUAGCAAUACUAUACACAGGCAUAAUCGCAACAACCUUUUGUUUAUGGGCAGAGAUCGUUGCUAUGCGUGAUGUAUCAGCUACAGAAACUGCAAUAAUUUAUGGUCUGGAACCAGUAUGGGGUGCUACUUUCGCAUGGGCAAUUCAUGGCGAGAGAUGGGGCAUUACUGGACUUAUUGGAGCUAUCUUCAUCAUAGCUGGUAGCUUGAUGGUUCAGGUACUGGGGUCAUUUCUUGAUAUUGAUGUAUCAGAGGACAGUUACCAGAUGAACAGCUGA